Molecule: unclassified non-coding RNA, 292 nt
Filed under: uncultured fungus
Lineage: Eukaryota; Fungi
Description: partial contains 18S rRNA, ITS1, 5.8S rRNA, ITS2 and 28S rRNA
Source: RNAcentral
AAGGAUCAUUAACACAACUUUAAACUGUUGAACACCUCGUGAACUGUUGUCCUCCCUGAGCUGUAUUUAAACCACAACUUGGGCUACUACUUGCUUGUUUGCUGUGUUGACUUCGGUCAGCAUUUGUGACUUGCAUGUUUUUAAAAUUUUCACCCCUUCUACCGCUCUUUAUUGAGCUGACCUGGCAUUCAGCGCAAGCUGAGUUCCAUAACUAAAUGAUUAAGGCUAUUUUCUUUAUUGAAUCUGCCGAUAAACAUAAAAACAACUCUUAACAAUGGAUAUCUUGGUUCUC